RNAcentral lists this ribosomal RNA (125 nucleotides) under Bacillus sp. (in: firmicutes). RNAcentral describes it as "Bacillus sp. (in: Bacteria) partial 16S ribosomal RNA". It matches the Rfam family "Bacterial small subunit ribosomal RNA", at positions 1 to 122 of the family's 1533-position model. The record is from RNAcentral. Lineage: Bacteria; Bacillati; Bacillota; Bacilli; Caryophanales; Bacillaceae.
UUCAUGGAGAGUUUGAUCCUGGCUCAGGACGAACGCUGGCGGCGUGCCUAAUACAUGCAAGUCGAGCGAACCGACGGGAGCUUGCUCCCUUAGGUUAGCGGCGGACGGGUGAGUAACACGUGGGU